GGGAAGCCGAAGAUGAGGCCGGUCGAGCGGACGCUGCCACCUGAGCGGUGGCCUGCUCUUCAUCCCGACGUAGGGAACCACGUCAGGCUUCAUCGAAGACGAGCUGACCUGAUCGUUCAGGAUCAAACGCUCAGUUGGUGGCGCAGCUGAA
Molecule: long non-coding RNA, 151 nt
Organism: Phragmites australis (common reed)
Lineage: Eukaryota; Viridiplantae; Streptophyta; Magnoliopsida; Poales; Poaceae
Exons: 2
Source: RefSeq, a predicted model, not a curated record